RNAcentral lists this ribosomal RNA (548 nucleotides) under uncultured bacterium. RNAcentral describes it as "bacterial SSU rRNA". It matches the Rfam family "Bacterial small subunit ribosomal RNA", at positions 355 to 896 of the family's 1533-position model. The record is from RNAcentral.
UAGGGAAUAUUGGGCAAUGGGCGCAAGCCUGAUCCAGCAAUGCCGCGUGCAGGAUGAAGGCCUUCGGGUUGUAAACUGCUUUUGUACGGAACGAAACGGCGAGCUCUAAUACAGUUUGCUAAUGACGGUACCGUAAGAAUAAGCACCGGCUAACUACGUGCCAGCAGCCGCGGUAAUACGUAGGGUGCAAGCGUUAAUCGGAAUUACUGGGCGUAAAGCGUGCGCAGGCGGUUAUAUAAGUCAGAUGUGAAAUCCCCGGGCUCAACCUGGGAACUGCAUUUGAGACUGUAUGGCUAGAGUGUGUCAGAGGGGGGUAGAAUUCCACGUGUAGCAGUGAAAUGCGUAGAUAUGUGGAGGAAUACCGAUGGCGAAGGCAGCCCCCUGGGAUAACACUGACGCUCAUGCACGAAAGCGUGGGGAGCAAACAGGAUUAGAUACCCUGGUAGUCCACGCCCUAAACGAUGUCUACUAGUUGUCGGGACUUAAUUGUCUUGGUAACGCAGCUAACGCGUGAAGUAGACCGCCUGGGGAGUACGGUCGCAAGAUUA